UACGUAGGGUGCGAGCGUUAAUCGGAAUUACUGGGCGUAAAGCGUGCGCAGGCGGUUUUGUAAGCCAGAUGUGAAAGCCCCGGGCUCAACCUGGGAAUGGCAUUUGGGACUGCAAGGCUUGAGUGCGGCAGAGGAGACUGGAAUUCCGCGUGUAGCAGUGAAAUGCGUAGAUAUGCGGAGGAACACCGAUGGCGAAGGCAAUCCCCUGGGCCUGCACUGACGCUCAUGCACGAAAGCGUGGGGAGCAAACAGG
Molecule: ribosomal RNA, 253 nt
Filed under: uncultured bacterium
Lineage: Bacteria
Description: partial 16S ribosomal RNA
Rfam family: Bacterial small subunit ribosomal RNA
Source: RNAcentral